GAGCUCGGGAGCGGGGACCGGUAGCCGACUGCCUCUGGGACAGCGGUGGCGUCUCUGUGCCCGUUUAGUGGAGUUGGAGGGAAGCUGCGAGGAGGCGCAGGAAGUCCACCUCAGAACCCCCCCCCCGGUCUAGGGGCGCCCGGGCGUUGGAACCGGCGGGGGAAGGGUGCGGGGGCGCAUGGGGUGAUCCUGAUUCGGCUCCCAUUUUCCCGAACGGGCACCCUGAGGCUCCUGGCCCGGGGCAUGGUGUUAGAAAUCAUAGCUGCGGAGAAGCCCUUGUGACACCUUGCUGCAGAUUGGGAAGCUGCAGAUGAUUGGGAAGGUGGAAGGUGGAGACGCGGUCCUUAGGUGGUCGAGCGCAUUUUCUCUUCCUCAGAGUCCAGGAAGGAGCGCGAUGGAGAAGUGGGGCGCACGGCGGGUUUCGGGUCCGCCCCUGCCCUUCCGACUCCUCCGACCACGUCUGCCUUUGGCUGAAAGCAAAUAUGGCUCCGUGUGCGGUUUCUGCAACAAAGGCUGGGCGGGCCGGGUUUCCCUAGGGAUGGGGACCGCCUCCCCGGGGAGUCGUGGGGGUGAGCCACCGGGGCCUCCGAGAGAAUCGCUGGUGUCGCUUCGCACCCAAGGGACACAUCUCGGGUUAGAAAGGAGAAACGACGUGGAUCUAAAGGCGAAGCCCAUGCUGAGGACUUUUCAAAAUGGCCUCUUAUCGGCCCCACUCACAGGAGCUUCAGGCUUCGGUGGCCCUGUAGGACAACCCUGGGGUGUCAUUGGAGAGAAGCUGACGGGGUUAAUGGCGGGUGACAGGUGAAAGAGACCCCGGAGGGGUGGGGCCGGUGUGUGUGGCUAAGCUGAGUCCCAGGCACAGGGUGGAUGUGAAUUUAUGGGUGGCAGAGCUAGAGCUAGGCCCUGCCCUUACCUAGGUCCUGGCUUCGAGGUCCACUGUUCUGUCGCGUCUUUUGACGCAUCGGUGGAAGAACUGAAUUUCAGGAUGCUCACAAACCUGCAGCUGGAAGCUAGACUUCCAAACCUUAGUUUAAAAAAGCAACUCUACUGAAAUACUAAAAUAAAUUGCCGACGGAAUUAGGGUGAUUUCUUGUUCACGGUUUCAUUUAAAAAUGCACCUAUGUUAUUUACAGGAAAAACGUUUUAGUGGUGCUAGAGCUACAAGAAUAAGGUAAACAGAAGGAUGCUGCUAGACCAGGAGUACCUUACCCAGUCUGGGAUAGGAGGAGGUCGGGGAAGCCCUCCCUAAGCAAGACACGUGAGCUGAGUUUGAAGAAAAAGUUAAAAGGAAGGUGAAGUGCGGGAGAGAAACAGGGAAGGGAAUUUGGAGCAGAGUGAACAGCAUAUGCAAAGGUGUGGAAAUGUGGAAAUGCAUGGCCUGUUAAAGCUGCCUUAAGAAAAUAUGUUGCCUGGGGCUGGGCGCGGUGGCUCAUGCCUGUAAUCCCAGCAUUUUGGGAGGCCGAGGCGGGCGGAUCACUUGAGGUCGGAGUUGGAGAUCAGCCUGGCUAACUAACAUGGCUAAACCCUUCUCUACUGAAAAUACAAAAAUUAGCCGGGCGUGGUGGCAUGCGCCUGUAAUCCUAGCUAUUCUGGAGGCUGAGGCAGGAGAAUCGCUUGAACCUGGGAGGCGGAGGUUGCAGUGAGCCGAGAUCGCGCCUUUGCACUCCAGCCUGGAAGACAAAACAAAACUCCGUCUC
This 1697-nucleotide long non-coding RNA is filed under the name Homo sapiens (human). Its description in RNAcentral is "HSALNT0363019". Lineage: Eukaryota; Metazoa; Chordata; Mammalia; Primates; Hominidae. The record is from RNAcentral.